This 72-nucleotide transfer RNA is filed under the name Candidatus Roizmanbacteria bacterium CG10_big_fil_rev_8_21_14_0_10_39_6. RNAcentral describes it as "tRNA-Ile". It matches the Rfam family "tRNA". Rfam says of the family: Transfer RNA (tRNA) molecules are approximately 80 nucleotides in length. Their secondary structure includes four short double-helical elements and three loops (D, anti-codon, and T loops). Further hydrogen bonds mediate the characteristic L-shaped molecular structure. tRNAs have two regions of fundamental functional importance: the anti-codon, which is responsible for specific mRNA codon recognition, and the 3' end, to which the tRNAs corresponding amino acid is attached (by aminoacyl-tRNA synthetases). tRNAs cope with the degeneracy of the genetic code in two manners: having more than one tRNA (with a specific anti-codon) for a particular amino acid; and 'wobble' base-pairing, i.e. permitting non-standard base-pairing at the 3rd anti-codon position. The record is from RNAcentral. RNAcentral also lists the same sequence under 1 other name. Lineage: Bacteria; Candidatus Roizmaniibacteriota.
GCACCCGUAGCUCAGUGGUAGAGCAUCACUCUUAUAAAGUGGGGGUCCUUGGUUCGAUCCCAAGCGGGUGCA